Molecule: ribosomal RNA, 338 nt
Filed under: uncultured Pseudomonadota bacterium
Lineage: Bacteria; Pseudomonadati; Pseudomonadota
Description: bacterial SSU rRNA
Rfam family: Bacterial small subunit ribosomal RNA
Source: RNAcentral
AACAAACGCUGGCGGCGUGCCUAACACAUGCAAGUCGUACGAGAAAUUCGCUUCGGUGAAUGAGUAAAGUGGCGCACGGGUGAGUAACGCGUGGAUAAUCUGCCCUUUAGCUGGGAAUAACUCACCGAAAGGUGGGAUAAUACCCGAUAAAACUGUUUUACCUCGGUAGAAUAGUCAAAGAUAGCCUCUGUAUACAAGCCUUCACUAAAGGAUGAGUCCGCGUACCAUUAGCUAGUUGGUAGGGUAACGGCCUACCAAGGCAACGAUGGUUAGCUGGUCUGAGAGGAUGAUCAGCCACACUGGAACUGAGACACGGUCCAGACUCCUACGGGAGGCUG